UCAAGCUAAUAAGAGCGCAGGGUGGAUGCCUUGGCACUAAGAGCCGAUGAAAGACGUGAUAAGCUGCGAAAAGCUUCGGGGAGGAGCAAAUAUCCUUUGAUCCGGAGAUAUCUGAAUGGGGAAACCCGGCUGAGAAGACCUCAGUCACUGUAUGGUAAAUCCAUAGCCAUACAGAGGGAACCCGGUGAACUGAAACAUCUAAGUAGCCGGAGGAAGAGAAAGAAACAUCGAUUCCGGAAGUAGCGGCGAGCGAACCCGGAAGAGCCCAAACCAGCGUGCGUGCAUGCUGGGGUUAAGGACUGCAUAAGUGAGCCGAUCUGUUAAUGGAACUGCCUGGGAAGGCAGGCCAGAGAGGGUGAAAGCCCCGUACAUGAAAACGGUAGGCAGCGGCAGGAUCCAGAGUACCGCGAGACACGAGAAACCUUGCGGGAAGUCGGAGGGACCACCCUCCAAGGCUAAAUACUCCUUAGUGACCGAUAGCGCAUAGUACUGUGAAGGAAAGGUGAAAAGGACCCCGGGAGGGGAGUGAAAGAGAACCUGAAACCCUGUGUUUACAAGCUGUGGAAGUUCUUUAAAUGAACAACCGCGUACUUUUUGUAGAACGGUCCGGCGAGUUGCGGAUACUGGCAAGGUUAAGCACUUAAGGUGCGGAGCCGAAGGGAUACCAAGUCUUAACAGGGCGUUAAGUCAGUAUACGCAGACCCGAAACCGGGUGAUCUAUCCAUGUCCAGGUUGAAGUUGUCGUAAAAGACAAUGGAGGACCGAAGCCACAUCCGUUGAAAAGGGUGGGCAUGAGGUGUGGAUAGGGGAGAAAUUCCAAUCGAACCCGGAGAUAGCUGGUUCUCCUCGAAAUAGCUUUAGGGCUAGCCCCGUAUUAGUUUAGCGGAGGUAGAGCACUGAAUUCCUAAGGGGGCGUCAAAGCUUACCAAGGGAUAUCAAACUCCGAAUGCCGCAUAAAUGAUGUACGGGAGUCAGACUGCACGAGAUAAGUUGGGCAGUCAAAAGGGAAAGAGCCCAGACCUACAGCUAAGGUCCCAAAGUGUGUGUUAAGUGGAAAAGGAUGUGGGAUUUCAGAGACAACUAGGAUGUUGGCUUAGAAGCAGCCACACAUUCAAAGAGUGCGUAAUAGCUCACUAGUCGAGAGGUCCUGCGCCGAAAAUGUCCGGGGCUGAAACACAACACCGAAGCUUAGGAAUGUAGUAAUACAUUGGUAGAGGAGCAUUCUUAAAGGAAUGAAGCAGUACCGGUAAGGAGCUGUGGACUUUUAAGAAGAGAGAAUGCCGGAAUGAGUAGCGAGAUGGAGGUGGGAAUCCUCCAGGCCGAAUAUCCAAGGUUUCCAGAGUAAAGCUGAUCUGCUCUGGGUAAGUCGGGGCCUAAGGUAAGGCUGAGAAGCGUAGCCGAUGGACAACAGGUUGAGAUUCCUGUACCGCGUAUCAUCAGAACUGUGGGGACACAGAAGGACAGCACAUCCCGGGAAUGGAAAGACCGGGGCAAGCAGGGUAGGAGUUAAGCUGGCAAAUCCGCUUAACAAUCCGAAGCUGUGAUGCGGAGCGAAUUUAAGUAGCGAAGUGUGCGAUUCCGGCUGUCAAGAAAAGCCGCUAUUGUGUGAUACGUGCCCGUACCGUAAACCGACACAGGUAGAUGAGGAGAGAAUCCUAAGGCCGGCGGGAGAAGCAUUGUUAAGGAACUCGGCAAAAUGACCCUGUAACUUCGGGAGAAAGGGUGCCUGGGAAACCAGGCCGCAGAGAAUAGGCUCAAGCAACUGUUUAGCAAAAACACAGGUCUAUGCAAAACCGUAAGGUGAGGUAUAUGGGCUGACGCCUGCCCGGUGCUGGAAGGUUAAGAGGAGGGGUUAGAGCAAUCGAAGCUUUGAAUUGAAGCCCCAGUAAACGGCGGCCGUAACUAUAACGGUCCUAAGGUAGCGAAAUUCCUUGUCGGGUAAGUUCCGACCCGC
Molecule: ribosomal RNA, 1954 nt
Filed under: human gut metagenome
Description: bacterial LSU rRNA
Rfam family: Bacterial large subunit ribosomal RNA
Source: RNAcentral